AUACGGAGGGUGCAAGCGUUAAUCGGAAUUACUGGGCGUAAAGCGUACGUAGGAGGUCCGUUAAGUUAGAUGUGAAAGCCCCGGGCUUAACCUGGGAACUGCAUUUAAAACUGGCGGACUAGAGUUGAGUAGAGGGGAGUGGAAUUUCAGGUGUAGCGGUGAAAUGCGUAGAGAUCUGAAGGAACACCAGUGGCGAAGGCGACUCCCUGGACUCGAACUGACGCUGAGGUACGAAAGCGUGGGUAGCAAACGGGAUUAGAUACCCCAGUAGUCC
Molecule: ribosomal RNA, 274 nt
Filed under: uncultured bacterium
Lineage: Bacteria
Description: partial 16S ribosomal RNA
Rfam family: Bacterial small subunit ribosomal RNA
Source: RNAcentral